GACAGAGGGUGCAAACGUUGCUCGGAAUUACUGGGCGUAAAGCGCGUGUAGGCGGGCCGGAAAGUCGGGCGUGAAAUCCCUGGGCUCAACCCAGGAACUGCACUCGAAACUUCCGGUCUAGAGUGGUGGAGAGGGAAGUGGAAUUUCUGGUGUAGAGGUGAAAUUCGUAGAUAUCGGGAGGAACACCAGUGGCGAAGGCGGCGACCUGGGCCAAUAUUGACGCUGAGGUGCGAAAGCGUGGGGAGCAAACAGG
This 253-nucleotide ribosomal RNA is filed under the name uncultured bacterium. Its description in RNAcentral is "partial 16S ribosomal RNA". It matches the Rfam family "Bacterial small subunit ribosomal RNA", at positions 524 to 776 of the family's 1533-position model. The record is from RNAcentral.